CGCUAUCACUCCUACGGGAGGUCAGCAGUGGGGAAUAUUGCACAAUGGGGGAAACCCUGAUGCAGCCAUGCCGCGUGUGUGAAGAAGGCCUUCGGGUUGUAAAGCACUUUCAGUAGGGAGGAAGGUAGUGUAGUUAACACCUGCAUUAUUUGACGUUAGCUGCAGAAGAAGCACCGGCUAACUCCGUGCCAGCAGCCGCGGUAAUACGGAGGGUGCGAGCGUUAAUCGGAAUUACUGGGCGUAAAGCGCAUGCAGGCGGCCUGUUAAGUCAGAUGUGAAAGCCCGGGGCUUAACCUCGGAAUUGCAUUUGAAACUGGCAGGCUAGAGUCUUGUAGAGGGGGUAGAAUUUCAGGUGUAGCGGUGAAAUGCGUAGAGAUCUGAAGGAAUACCAGUGGCGAAGGCGGCCCCCUGGACAAAGACUGACGCUCAGAUGCGAAAGCGUGGGGAGCAAACAGGAUUAGAUACCCUGGUAG
RNAcentral lists this ribosomal RNA (473 nucleotides) under uncultured bacterium. RNAcentral's name for it is "bacterial SSU rRNA". It matches the Rfam family "Bacterial small subunit ribosomal RNA", at positions 328 to 793 of the family's 1533-position model. The record is from RNAcentral.